RNAcentral lists this long non-coding RNA (429 nucleotides) under Spirodela polyrhiza (greater duckweed). RNAcentral describes it as "long non-coding RNA (SPOL_LNC002381)". The record is from RNAcentral. Lineage: Eukaryota; Viridiplantae; Streptophyta; Magnoliopsida; Alismatales; Araceae.
UCUGAUCUGCCUCCUACAGUCUUGAAAAGAGGAUCAAUAAGAAGGUCAUGGCGAUGUUUGAGAAAGCGGAAGAUGAAUACAACGACCUCAUAUCCAAGAAGAACAUCAUCGAGGCCGGUUCCCUUUGGCAACAGCUCUCUGAUUUUCCUGCACCAGAAGAAAACCCAUCGGCUUCCUGUUCUUGGCUGAUAACGAUGGCUGGUCCUUGCAGAACGAUAAGUCAAAGAUCAAGAUGGUGAUUGAGGAGCUCGACGAGAAGAAGAGGGAGACCCUGAAGGUCACCUGGGUCAAAGUGAACAAGUGGGUGCUCCUCCCCGUGUUCCUGAAUCUCUUCUCCAUCUUGCAGCGGGAUUCAGCUGGGUUCAUCCUAAAAGAAUCCUCCAUUUGCAGAGAUUUUGGGUCGAUAUUCUCCACUCUUCUGCCGGGCGC